UUCCGGUUGAUCCUGCCGGACCUUACUGCUAUCGGGAUGAGACUAAGCCAUGCAUGUCGAGCGCUCUUCAGCUAUGUAGAGAGCGCGGCGAACGGCUCAAUAACACGUAGUUAACCUACCCUCGGGAUGGGAAUAACCCCGGGAAACUGGGAUUAAUACCCACUAGAUGAUUAUACCUGGAAUGGCUUAUCAUCGAAAGAGUCUGGAAACAUGCUUCCAGCGUCGCCCGAGGAUGGGACCGCGUCCGAUCAGGUAGUUGGUGGGGUAAUGGCCUACCAAGCCUAUAACCGAUACGGGCCCUGAGAGGGGGAGCCCGGAGAUGGAAACUGAGAAAAGGUUCCAGGCCCUACGGGGUGCAGCAGGCGCGAAACCUCCACAAUGCGCGAAAGCGUGAUGGGGUUAUCCCGAGUGCCGUCCGAUGAGGAUGGCUUUUAAUCGAUGUAAGGAUUCGAUAGAAUAAAGGGGGGGCAAGACUGGUGUCAGCCGCCGCGGUAAUACCAGCCCCCUGAGUGGUAAGGACGAUUAUUUGGCCUAAAGCGUUCGUAGCCAGCUUAUCAAGUCUUUUGUUAAAUCCAACGAUUCAAUCGUUGGGCCGCAAAAGAUACUGUUAUGCUAGAGGACGGGAGAGGUCGACGGUAGUCCAGGGGUAGGGGUGAAUCCUAUAAUCCUUGGAGGACCACCAGUGGCGAAGGCGGUCGACUAGAACGUGCCUGACGGUGAGGGACGAAAGCUGGGGGAGCGAACCGGAUUAGAUACCCGGGUAGUCCCAGCUGUAAACGAUGCGGGCUAGGUGUUGGGGCAGCCACGAGCUGCUCCAGUGCCGCAGAGAAGUUGUUAAGCCCGCCGCCUGGGGAGUACGGCCGCAAGGCUGAACUUAAAGGAAUUGGCGGGGGAGCACCACAGGGUGAAGGCUGCGGUUUAAUUGGAGUCAACGCCGGA
This 939-nucleotide ribosomal RNA is filed under the name uncultured archaeon. Its description in RNAcentral is "bacterial SSU rRNA". It matches the Rfam family "Archaeal small subunit ribosomal RNA", at positions 1 to 922 of the family's 1478-position model. The record is from RNAcentral.